CAGAAAUAGUCGCGACUUUUCGCGAUUGUUUGUUUUGAGAAAACUGGGGGUUGGGAUCAGCAUCACGCUAGCAAGCCACCCUUGAAGCGAAAGGAGCCCGAAGCGAACUUUGAAUCAAGUCACCAGAUUUAAUUAUGUCGUCGACCUUUUAAACCGUAUCUCUCUGGAUAGAUCCUGCAUUGUGUACGGAGUAUGCUCUGUUGCAUGUCUCUUUCACGACUCAAUCACUUGCAAGUUACCAGAAGGAAGUGUCUUUCCACAAACAGAGCUGCUUCUUCAUCAACUUAACGGCACGAAAUACCUAUGUACCUCCAGACAAAUUUCGGGUGGACGGCUAUUGUGAAACCCCUUGGAAUCAGAUACAUGUGCUUUUACUUCGUUCUUUGUGCAUAUCUUCCGGAGUACAGAGGUAGAUAGAUAAGGAACCGUUUCAGAUCUGUAUGGGAAUUUAGCCCAGACUGGACGUCUGUUCUUCAACAAAUCCAGGUUAAGCUGAGGGCCGAGACAGGCAUGGGAGGAUAUCCAUGGAUGCAACCUGGGGUGGUGACAUUUACGGCGAAGAGUUACUUCCUGCAUGUGAGAAUCAGCUUGUUUGUGGAG
Molecule: small RNA, 600 nt
Filed under: Histoplasma capsulatum var. duboisii H88
Lineage: Eukaryota; Fungi; Ascomycota; Eurotiomycetes; Onygenales; Ajellomycetaceae
Description: Histoplasma capsulatum H88 hypothetical RNA
Source: RNAcentral